UACGUAGGGCGCAAGCGUUGUCCGGAAUUAUUGGGCGUAAAGAGCUCGUAGGCGGUUUGUCGCGUCUGCUGUGAAAACCUAAGGCUCAACCUUGGGCUUGCAGUGGGUACGGGCAGGCUAGAGUUCGGUAGGGGAGACUGGAAUUCCUGGUGUAGCGGUGAAAUGCGCAGAUAUCAGGAGGAACACCGAUGGCGAAGGCAGGUCUCUGGGCCACUACUGACGCUGAGAAGCGAAAGCAUGGGGAGCGAACAGG
Molecule: ribosomal RNA, 253 nt
Filed under: uncultured bacterium
Lineage: Bacteria
Description: partial 16S ribosomal RNA
Rfam family: Bacterial small subunit ribosomal RNA
Source: RNAcentral